This is an RNA transcript of Telopea speciosissima, 1337 nucleotides long. It is a transcript of the gene named protein EI24 homolog, with no coding region annotated. The transcript has 11 exons. Lineage: Eukaryota; Viridiplantae; Streptophyta; Magnoliopsida; Proteales; Proteaceae. The record is from RefSeq and is a predicted model, not a curated record.
CGGACAUCCUCCCUCCCUCCCUUGUAAAAAUUAUGGCACUAAAGAUGGAUUCUCUGAGACCACAGGUCAAGCAAGCCGUUUUACUGUGGAUUGAUGGUUUCAGGGAGGCAUGUUGUCUUCACAGGGUCGUCUUCCUCUGUCUCAGGUCGAGGAUGCUCUUGAUCCGAAUCGGGCAGUGUUUUCUUUUGAAUGGCUUGAUUUUCUUAGGAAGCAUGUUUGUUAUAAAUUCAGUUGUCAUUCCAACUCUAGAAUGGAUAUUACCAAAUCGAUGCCCAAAUUUUGGUUCAGACGAUCAAUGUUCCUUUGCUGGUGGUGUAAAACUUUAUUCCUUCUUACGCUCAGGACUUAUUCAGCUUUUCUAUAUAUUUUGGUUUUAUCCACUGUAUGUUUUCAGCUUUGUACUAAGCAUUCUCUGGUACAAUGACAUUGCUAAGUAUGCUUUUGUUGCAAUGGGUAAAGAUGGAUCAGCUGUGGUGGAAUCAUCAAUCCAGAAGGAGUCAGUAAACUCACAAACUUCUGCUCAUAUGGAAAAGCCUCCUGGCCUUGGGGGGGUGAUAAUUGGAAUCGGGGAACAGAUUUAUUCACUCGUCCUGUUGAACUUCUUCUUCCUUGAGGUUUUUACUGUUGGGUUUAUACCCUACAUUGGGAAGGUGCUCAAUUUCAUACUUCUUUCUUGGAUGUAUUCCUACUACAGUUUUGAGUACAAAUGGAAUCUUGCUGAGGUGGGUCUAGACAAACGGCUUGACUUCUUUGAAUCAAACUGGGCCUUCUUCGCAGGUUUUGGUAAUGAUAUUGAUCAGAGGCCCUUGUAUUUUGGCAAUUUUCUUCUUUUCUCCUCUUGUGAGUUACGGCGUCAUGGCUAUCCUCUUUCCACUGUUUGUUGCGACUGCCACAAGCUCUGAAGCUGACCAAGCUAUGAAUUCUAACAGAAGUACAUGGAGAGGAGCUGAAUUAGGAAGGCUUCCAAUAUUUUAUGCUGCCGAUACUUUAUCGAUGCGGGUGUUGCUUCUUUUCAGUCGGACACCUCAUGGACGAACACCAGACAAGAAGACCCCCUGAGAAGUUAUGCGUAUUAUGCUAGUUGAUUCCAAACUUCCCGGUAACUCUGUGGUAGUGCUUGCAGCAGAGAAUAUUAUGGAUACAAAAGAUAUAUGAGCUACUCCCAUUGUGCAAGUUGUGUAUAGGAAAAGUCAAAAUCUUACCUCGUUCAUUCUUAUGUACAGUAAUAUGAUAAAGUAUAUAUUCCUCCUAAUUCGUGAGUAAUUGGGAAUAUGUUGUUUAACAGACUGGAGAAUUACUUGAUAAAAAUGAGAAAUCACGGGCACGCCUUCGGACAA